AAAGAAAAAAAAGGAAAUCGAGCGAAGGCUGCAAAGUGGACAUCGAGUCCAAAAACGAACGAAGGUGGACCUUACUUUUUGUUUUAUUUCUUUUUCCAAUUUGUUAUUGU
Molecule: non-coding RNA, 110 nt
Filed under: Compsopogon caeruleus
Lineage: Eukaryota; Rhodophyta; Compsopogonophyceae; Compsopogonales; Compsopogonaceae
Source: RNAcentral